This 481-nucleotide ribosomal RNA is filed under the name uncultured bacterium. RNAcentral describes it as "bacterial LSU rRNA". It matches the Rfam family "Bacterial large subunit ribosomal RNA", at positions 786 to 1230 of the family's 2925-position model. The record is from RNAcentral.
AUGUUGAAAAAUUGGGGGAUGAGCUGUGGGUAGGGGUGAAAGGCCAAUCAAACUCCGUGAUAGCUGGUUCUCCCCGAAAUGCAUUUAGGUGCAGCGUCGUGCGUUUCUUGUCGGAGGUAGAGCACUGGAUGAUCUAGGGGGCCUACAAGCUUACCGAAAUCAACCAAACUCCGAAUGCCGAUAAGUCAGAGCACGGCAGUGAGACUGCGGGGGAUAAGCUUCGUAGUCGAGAGGGAAACAGCCCAGAUCACCAACUAAGGCCCCUAAGCGUGUGCUAAGUGGGAAAGGAUGUGGAGUCGCACAGACAACCAGGAGGUUGGCUUAGAAGCAGCCACCCUUGAAAGAGUGCGUAAUAGCUCACUGGUCAAGUGAUUCCGCGCCGACAAUUUAGCGGGGCUCAAGCACACCGCCGACGUGUGACAUUGAUGCAUUAUCUCGCCGGCGAGGUUCGCCUGUUGGUCCUAGGAGCGAUCGAUGGGUA